RNAcentral lists this ribosomal RNA (560 nucleotides) under uncultured Glomeromycotina. RNAcentral's name for it is "bacterial SSU rRNA". It matches the Rfam family "Eukaryotic small subunit ribosomal RNA", at positions 548 to 1098 of the family's 1831-position model. The record is from RNAcentral. Lineage: Eukaryota; Fungi; Glomeromycota.
UUGGAGGGCAAGUCUGGUGCCAGCAGCCGCGGUAAUUCCAGCUCCAAUAGCGUAUAUUAAAGUUGUUGCAGUUAAAAAGCUCGUAGUUGAACUUCGGGGCGGGGGUGGCGGUCGCCUCUUACGGGGUCGUACUGCCAUUUUUACUCCGCUCUCUACCUUCUGACGAGCCGGUUAUGCACUUUAUUGGGCGUACCGGGGAAUCAGGACUGUUACCUUGAAAAAAUUAGAGUGUUUAAAGCAGGCUAUUAAGCUUGAAUACAUUAGCAUGGAAUAACGAAAUAGGACGGUUUGGCUCUAUUUUGUUGGUUUCUAGGACCACCGUAAUGAUUAAUAGGGAUAGUUGGGGGCAUUAGUAUUCAAUUGUCAGAGGUGAAAUUCUUGGAUUUAUUGAAGACUAACUUCUGCGAAAGCAUUUGCCAAGGAUGUUUUCAUUAAUCAAGAACGAAAGUUAGGGGAUCGAAGACGAUCAGAUACCGUCGUAGUCUUAACCAUAAACUAUGCCGACUAGGGAUCGGGCGAUGUUACAUUCCAAUAUGACUCGUUCGGCGCCUACGGGAAAC